AUCGGAAAUAAAUAAAAAAUAUCUGAAAGUAACAGGAAUAUUUAUUAGAGCAGUGAAAAUAUUUAUUAUAUAAAUUAAAAAAGCAUUUUUUAAAAAUUGCUAUCGAGCCACUGUUGAUCGCGGUGGUCGGUAAUUAUUAUUGACGAAGGAAUACUUUUAUUGAAAAAUUACAAGUAUUAAUUUAAUUGACAUCAUGGUACACAAACAGUACAGCACUUCCCUCAAGGGUCCAUACCAAGAAGUCAAGAAGGACAAACAGAUAGCAGAUAAAAAACCAUCGACAUCAUUUAAAAAUAGUGAAAAAAACGAUAAAAAUAACCCUUGGGGACCGGUUUUCAAAAGCAAACAAAACUUUAUUGACAUGCAUAUGUUUUAAAAUUAUUAUCCGAUUCAUUGAAUGGCGACCAUGACCCCAGCUACAGUCUUAUGGAAUUUUUAAAUUUAUUUUUUAAUUCAUUAAUUUAAAAUUUUCCACUAAAAUUAAAUUAAUAAAUUAAAAAAUUUAAAUAAAAAUUAUACGAUUAUGAUAAAGAAAAAAAAAAAUUCCUUCGCAGUAACGACUAAUUCGCAUCAAUUUGUUUCUUGCAUCGCAUCAACACAGGCAUUAUUAAUUAAUUAAUUAAUUAAUUUAAAAAAAAUUCAGAGGCAUUAUGACAAAAAAUCACUAGUCAAUUUAUUGUUAAAUAAUUAUAUAAAUAUAUGAUUAUAUAAUCGGCUUGUUAUUGUUAUUAUAAUUAUAAUUCGUUUUUAAAUAUAUAAUUUAUAAAUUUUGAUAUGAAAUAAAUUUUAUUGGUUUUGAAAAUUUGCAAUUUUUUUUUUUUUUAAAUUCAUCAUUGCCUAGCAAGGAACAAUGCGAACCGCGAGAACAGUGGCUCGAUUACGCAUUCGAAAAAUGAAAAAAAAAAAUUUAGAUCUUGUCACUGCUCUACUAAAUAUCGAUCGUUACUUUCAUAUAUUUUUUUUGUUACUAUUAAUUAAUACUAAUUAAUUUGUUUUAUAUUUUUUGUAAUGAUAAAACAAUUUUUUUUACUAACUGGUGAUUGUUGAUUUUUUUUAAUAAACUGGUGACGGUUAUGAUUAAUCAUUAAAAAAAAUAAUGAGUGAAAAGAAUUUAUUUAUUCGUUUAAAAUUAAUUUUUAAGCUGAUUAAUUUUGAGAGGGGGCGAAAUGGCUUCACUGUGAAAAAAAUUUUGGGUGGCCCGAAUUACCCGGGGAGCCUAUUCUACCCCGUUUUUUUGUUUAUGGACGAAAUAUAUGACGUCAUCAUGUAAAUAAAUAUAAAAUUAGCAUACAAAUAAAACGAUCGGAAUUUAAAUAAAAAAAAAACAUAAUUCUAAAAUAGAAAACCUGAAUUUCCGGGUUUCAGACUUCGGAAGUUGAAAAAAAAAGGAAAUAUGAAUAAUGAGAUUUUGAAAUUUUUUUUUUCAAUAAAA
Microplitis mediator is the source of this 1432-nucleotide long non-coding RNA. RefSeq lists it as uncharacterized. The transcript has 2 exons. Lineage: Eukaryota; Metazoa; Arthropoda; Insecta; Hymenoptera; Braconidae. The record is from RefSeq and is a predicted model, not a curated record.